This 1476-nucleotide long non-coding RNA is filed under the name Amborella trichopoda. RNAcentral's name for it is "long non-coding RNA (ATRI_LNC004859)". Lineage: Eukaryota; Viridiplantae; Streptophyta; Magnoliopsida; Amborellales; Amborellaceae. The record is from RNAcentral.
AAUUUUAAAUGCCAAUAGACCUCCAAUUCUUCACCCCUAUAAUGCAAUUUUAAAUGCCAAUAGACCUCCAAUUCUUCACCCCUAUAAUGCAAUUUUAAAUGCCAAUAGACCUCCAAUUCUUCACCCCUAUAAUGCAAUUUUAAAUGCCAAUAGACCUCCAAUUCUUCACCCCUAUAAUGCCAUUUUAAAUGCCAAUAGGGUUUAACCAUCCACUAAAAUUCACGAAACCAUAAAGAGGUUUACCCUAUUAGCAUCAUGUUUUCUGCUGUCCCAAGAGCAUAUUUCUACAAUGUUGGAAAAGCAGUCCCAAGAGCAUCUACAAUGUUGGGAAAGCAGUGAAUAUUUAUUCAAGAAGUUCGGCUAAAGUUCUUGAGAUAAACGAAUUGGAAAAAAAAGCUCAUCCUUGUAUGAGAUCAAUGGCUGUCAUAACCAAUUAAAUAAGCUGAGAACAUUUGCGUGAUUUGUUCCAAGUCCCUGGUAGAAUCUUUUAUUCCUUCUCUUCGUGAACCUUCUGAUGACAAACAGUAUGCGUGGGAAGAUGUAAUUUGACAGUGAUGGAGUUCAUUGUAAGAAAAACUAAAAGAAAAGACACUAACCUAACAACAAAAUAAGACACCUAGAGGGAGGUAGGGAGGGAGUCCCGAAAGGUUAUCUGUUGAUUGAAUACCAACCUCCAAUUCCUUUUCUUCCAUCUGUUCCUCCAUUGGUCAGUGACGGAAAGGAUUGAUUUUGUAAUAUAACUAUUUUCUUGGAAGUUAUCUUUAAUCUUAUCUGAAAAAGUGUGUGAUUUAGCUCUGAAAUCUACUGAUUGGACGAAUAGCUGCAUCGCAUUGAGUUAGACGCUGAAAUUGAUUAGACUCUUAUUAGGUUUGAAUUAACAGGUCUUGAUUGUGUGGCUGUUGGAGUUGGAAUGAGAGUUUUGUGAGAAUUUUGUGGAGUAUAUAUGAGAAUAUAUAUGUUCAAGAGAAAAAUUUAAAUGAAUAAUGGAUAAUUCUAGUAUUCAUGUGUCAGAAUUGCUAACACUGAUUUUAUAAUUCUAUCCUAUCCUUCAGGAAGAUGACUUGCCAUACUCCCUUUAUACGCAGGCUUCCUGCCUUCUGGGGGGCUACAUCAAUGCAGUAGCAGGAAAAGUUAUGAUGAGCUGUAUUCUGGAAAACUAAUUUAAUUUAAAGGCUGAAUAUACACUAAUGAACUACUUUACAGGAGUCUCCUUAUUCUGAAAUUUCUAUUAUGCUGAAGGGCUAAAUUGUUGCAAUCAUACCAUAUGAUCUGAUAUUACCAUUUUUGUAGCAUGUUCUUCAAAAGAUAAUACUUAAAAUUUGUUUUGCUUGCUUGUCUGUUAAUUACAAAUAUGCUUUCAUGUACUUUGUAAUAGAAUGAUUCUUGAACUUCUUCCUUUGUGUUAUAUUACAAUCACGUGCAACGCACGUGCCCUUGCUUGUAAACUAACAAGGCAUUUUUUGACUGACUAUUGUG